RNAcentral lists this ribosomal RNA (445 nucleotides) under Limneria undata. RNAcentral's name for it is "SSU rRNA". It matches the Rfam family "Eukaryotic small subunit ribosomal RNA", at positions 564 to 1003 of the family's 1831-position model. The record is from RNAcentral. Lineage: Eukaryota; Metazoa; Mollusca; Gastropoda; Littorinimorpha; Velutinidae.
GUGCCAGCAGCCGCGGUAAUUCCAGCUCCAAUAGCGUAUACUAAAGUUGUUGCGAUUAAAAGCUCGUAGUUGGAUCUCAGGUAUGGGCGCGCGGUCCGCCUCGCGGCGGUCACUGUGUGUAUUUUUCCCAUCCUACGCUUCCCGGUUGUUAGCCCAUGGUGCUCUUUAUUGAGCGUUUUGGGUGGCCGGAACGUUUACUUUGAAGAAAUUAGAGUGUUCAAAGCAGGCACGUUGCCUGAAUAAUGGUGCAUGGAAUAAUGGAAUAGGACCUCGGUUCUAUUUUGCUGGUUUUCGGAACACGAGGUAAUGAUUAAGAGGGACAGACGGGGGCAUCCGUAUUGCGGUGUUAGAGGUGAAAUUCUUGGAUCAUCGCAAGACGAACAACUGCGAAAGCAUUUGCCAAGCAUGUUUUCAUUAGUCAAGAACGAAAGUCAGAGGUUCGAAG